GUGCUCACUUCAGCAGCACAUAUAUUAAAAUUGGAAUGAUGUGAUAAAGAUUAGCAUGGCCCCUGUACAAGGAUGACAUGCAAAUUUGUGAAGCUUCCAUAUUUAAA
Nyctereutes procyonoides (raccoon dog) is the source of this 107-nucleotide small nuclear RNA. Lineage: Eukaryota; Metazoa; Chordata; Mammalia; Carnivora; Canidae. The record is from RefSeq and is a predicted model, not a curated record.